AAAUUGAAGAGUUUGAUCAUGGCUCAGAUUGAACGCUGGCGGCAGGCUUAACACAUGCAAGUCGAACGGUAACAGGAAGCAGCUUGCUGCUUUGCUGACGAGUGGCGGACGGGUGAGUAAUGUCUGGGAAACUGCCUGAUGGAGGGGGAUAACUACUGGAAACGGUGGCUAAUACCGCAUAACGUCGCAAGACCAAAGAGGGGGACCUUCGGGCCUCUUGCCAUCAGAUGUGCCCAGAUGGGAUUAGCUAGUUGGUGAGGUAACGGCUCACCAAGGCGACGAUCCCUAGCUGGUCUGAGAGGAUGACCAGCCACACUGGAACUGAGACACGGUCCAGACUCCUACGGGAGGCAGCAGUGGGGAAUAUUGCACAAUGGGCGCAAGCCUGAUGCAGCCAUGCCGCGUGUAUGAAGAAGGCCUUCGGGUUGUAAAGUACUUUCAGCGGGGAGGAAGGUGUUG
This 459-nucleotide ribosomal RNA is filed under the name Salmonella enterica. Its description in RNAcentral is "bacterial SSU rRNA". It matches the Rfam family "Bacterial small subunit ribosomal RNA", at positions 1 to 456 of the family's 1533-position model. The record is from RNAcentral. Lineage: Bacteria; Pseudomonadati; Pseudomonadota; Gammaproteobacteria; Enterobacterales; Enterobacteriaceae.